AAAGGAAGUUGUACAGUACUGCUGAGUGGAAAGCACCUACUGUAGAACAUCUCUGUUAUGUUUGAUCCCCCUGUCAUCUCCGUCCCAGAAGUUAUCGCAGUUUAGAAGUCAACACCCCAGGAAAGACUGUGAAAAGCAGCAAUAUUCUAAUGUGAAGCAUCCAACAUUAUUUCAAGAAGUGAGUCUUCCCAGCCUGGCUCCAGAGCUGCUGUGCAGAUUAAGUAACUUGCUUCAUGCAAAGCUUUGAAGAUACAAAGUGUGUGUUUCUAAAUAUGAUUUACCCUGAAUUCUCUAUGGUUUCUUCACAUCCUUAUUUGAAUGAUUGCUGCAGUCUGAUGCAACAGAGGAGAUACCUACUGAGCUGUGAUGUGGAGGUUGAGCCCCCUUUAUUUUACCCAGCCCUUGCUCACUAAAUGUCCUAGAUAUCCUGGCACAUGAAACCAGACACUCAAACGUUCUGGGGGUUCAGGCAGUGCUCUUGCUUUGGUCUCCCUGGCCUUAGGUUUUCUCAAGUAAGUGUUCCCUCCCUUAGUAAUUCAAUCUGCCACUCAUGAAUGAAGUGGUCAAACUCUUAUUUAAUAUGACAGUAGCAUCCAAAGAAUCCAGUCAGGACCAGGACUCCAAGGUGCUAGGGGUUAUACAAAUGCAUAAGAAAAUAUGGGCUCUGCCCUGAAGAAUUCACAUGGUAAUAAAAUCUAUAGCACCACAUUUUGCAUAUGCACAUACACUGUAGUGUGUGUAUGUACACAAUUGGAUAUGUGGCAUACUAAUUCUUGGUGGCCAAUAACACCCCCUUCCCCAACUUUAGUUGCAUGUAUGAGUGAAAGAAGCCAGCACUUUCUGUAGUCAAGAUUAAGGAAACCGGUGUUAAGUGCUUCUGUGUAUGUAUUUCCACUUCUAGGUUCUUUUGAUUAGUUUUAAAUUUCACAUCUGAACCAGGCUCAACUGAUUUCAUGGAGAAGGGGAGCAAUCAAAAUCUUACAUUAAAAGAAGAGAGAUUCUUUUGAACUGAAGGAGAGUUGAGAGAGGGAGUGGGGUGAAUUCUAAGCAUAUUGGUCUUUUUAUCCAUGAGUGUCAAGAAUACACUAACUAG
Molecule: long non-coding RNA, 1093 nt
Organism: Mauremys reevesii (Reeves's turtle)
Lineage: Eukaryota; Metazoa; Chordata; Testudines; Geoemydidae
Exons: 4
Source: RefSeq, a predicted model, not a curated record